Molecule: small RNA, 708 nt
Filed under: Vigna angularis var. angularis
Lineage: Eukaryota; Viridiplantae; Streptophyta; Magnoliopsida; Fabales; Fabaceae
Description: Non-protein coding transcript
Source: RNAcentral
AAAGAAAUUGAGAGGAACCCAAGGGGUAGACUAUGUCUGAAUUGUAUUAAUUGAGUCCAUUGCAGCAGGAUUUAAGUGGCUCUUCGGCAUUGUUAUUUGUCCAAGAUAACUCCAGUAAAUUGUCAUGUUCAAGGUUCUUUGUUGCAGAACUAAGUGCCUAGUUUAGCUUCACAGGGUAGUCCAAGAUGGUCCAACGUUUAGGUGUGUCCUACUGGUUUUCUACAGCUUGCAACCUCACUCACAUUGGUAUUAAAGUGGCACAAUGUAGUGAGCUUCUAGAACUGAUACUGCAGCGUUCAACUCUGUCUAGUAUGACAUGGUAGUGAACCAACAUAGUAGGCUUUUAGGCUUAUAUUUGCAGCUCACCACCCUAUGCAGUUUGACCUUGGAAAAAGAAAAAGACCAAAUAUAGUAUUUUUACAGAGGUGAACUUGGCAGUUGGAAAUGUACAUAUUAGCACUUUUACGGUUCAAAUAGGCAAAUAUCCAAUGGCUGUUUUUCUCUGUUUCAAGCUGACCAGAUUAAGCACCAGAAAAUGGACCAAUAAUAGGGUUACAUUCUAGGACAAUGUUGUAUAUGUUCCGUAGUUAACUAUGUAGAUUUUGAAUCUAGUUGGUUUAGCACAGAUUUUGAAUCUAGUUCCUUGGGCUAUUGUAGCUGCGUUAAGUGUAAGACCCUGAGGUUUUAAUAUGCCUAAGUAUCAUAAAA